AUGGAGAAGAAGUCGGACGAUCGGCCGGCGAGGAGGAGGGAUGGCAAGGAGGAGAGGAUGGGCAGGGCGGGCGUGGUGCUCAUCGUGUGCCUCUGCACGCUGCCGUUCCUGGUGUUCCUCUUCCGCGCGCCGGCCGUCUGGCACAACGCCGCCAAGCUCACCGCCACAGCCGGAGGGUUAGUGAACGUCUCUCGUCCAAGCGUCGCCGGCGGCGGCGCAGACGAGCUCUUCGGCGGCCUGCUCGCGCCGGGCUCCGACCGACGCGCGUGCCUGAGCCGGUACCAGUCCCCGCGUUACUACAAGCACUCCCCCUACGCGCCCUCGCCGCACCUCUUGCAGAAGCUGCGCGACUACGAGGCUCGGCACAAGAAGUGCGGCCCCGGCACGCCGCCGUACGCCAAGUCCGUCGAUCACCUCAGCUCCGGCAGCAGCAGCACGGAGGACGAUGAGUGCAACUACGUCGUGUGGAUCCCCUACAACGGCCUCGGCAACCGGAUGCUGUCGCUGCUGAGCACGUUCCUGUACGCGCUCCUCACCGGCCGCGUCCUCCUCGUGCACUCCACCGACGACUUCACCGACCUCUUCUGCGAGCCGUUCCCCGGCGGGACCUGGGCGCUCCCGCCGGACUUCCCCGUCGCGGACAUGUCCCGGCUCGGGGCGCGCUCCAACGAGUCGUACGGGAACCUCCUGGACGGCAAGAAGAUCUCCAACGACCCGGCCAAGGCGACGGCGCGGUCGGUGCCGCCGUAUGUGUACCUGCACCUGGCGCACGACCUCCGGCGCUCGGACCGGCUCUUCUACUGCAACGACGACCAGCUGGUGCUGGCCAAGGUGAACUGGCUGCUGCUGCAGAACGACUUCUACUUCGUGCCGGCGCUGUACGACAUGGCCGAGUUCGAGGGCGAGCUCCGGAGGCUGUUCCCGGCCAUGGAGAGCGCGUCGCACCUCCUCGGCCGGUACCUGUUCCACCCGUCCAACUCGGUGUGGGGCAUGAUCACGCGCUACUACCACUCGUACUUGGCCCAGGCGGACGAGAGGAUCGGCGUGCAGAUCAGGAUGUUCUCCUGGGCAUCCAUCCCCGUCGACGACAUGUACGACCAGAUCAUGGCGUGCUCCCGGCGGGAGCGCAUACUGCCGUACGUCGAUGGCGACGAGGCGAACACGACGAGCACCGCGGCCGACGGCUCCAACAAAUCCAAGGCCAUCUUGAUCGCGUCGCUGCAGGGCGAGUACUAUGAGAGGAUCAAGUCGACGUACUACGAGCACGCGGCAGAGGGCGGGGGCAGGGUGGGGGUGUUCCAGCCGAGCCACGAGGAGCGGCAGACGAUGGGGCAGCGGUCGCACAACCAGAAGGCGCUGGCGGAGAUCUACCUGCUCAGCUUCUCCGACGUGCUGCUCACCACGGGGAUAUCCACCUUCGGCUACAUGAGCAGCAGCCUCGCGGGGCUGCGCCCCACAAUGCUCAUGAUCGCCAAGGACCACAAGGUGCCCGAGACGCCGUGCGUGCGCGCCGUGUCCAUGGAGCCGUGCUUCCACAUGACGCCCGAUGUCAAGUGCCGGGGCAAGGCGGUGAACAAGGAGGAGCUGUCUCGGCACGUCAAGGAGUGCGAGGAUGUACCCAAAGGGAUGAAAUGGAUUAAAGGUAUCAAGUUAGUUGAUUAG
RNAcentral lists this ribosomal RNA (1662 nucleotides) under Triticum aestivum (bread wheat). RNAcentral describes it as "partial small subunit ribosomal RNA". Lineage: Eukaryota; Viridiplantae; Streptophyta; Magnoliopsida; Poales; Poaceae. The record is from RNAcentral.